Suricata suricatta (meerkat) is the source of this 404-nucleotide long non-coding RNA. RefSeq lists it as uncharacterized. Lineage: Eukaryota; Metazoa; Chordata; Mammalia; Carnivora; Herpestidae. The transcript is spliced from 2 exons. The record is from RefSeq and is a predicted model, not a curated record.
UGCUUCCCACGGAGGAGAGGAGAAGGCAAGGGCUGCAGGCUUUCCUCAAGUGAGGAUCACUUGAGGGAAAUCACUGCCCUGGAAAGAAGGCCUUGCGGCUGCGCUUCAAGAAACACCAGAUGCCUCCGGUCCUCAGAGCCCCUGGUGCCGCGGGGAGGGGAGAGCCAGAGAGGCCCGGCCAGACUGCAUCGGCUUAGUCCUGAGACCCAGUUCCAGCGCCCGGAAGCCCUAGGGCCCCCCCACCCCGGGGAACCUGCGGCCAGUUCUCAGGCCCGGAUUUAGGUCACUUCUCUAUGUUGAACUCCUGCGGGUCUUUCUGCUCCUGCUGUCUUGUCCCUGACUUCUUCCACUCCAGAUGGGAACCUUAUCCUCUCUCUGUGACCGAUGCCAUCUGCCUCAGUUUA